Molecule: long non-coding RNA, 544 nt
Organism: Oreochromis aureus
Lineage: Eukaryota; Metazoa; Chordata; Actinopteri; Cichliformes; Cichlidae
Exons: 2
Source: RefSeq, a predicted model, not a curated record
CUGAGAGGCUCGAGAUAACUAGAAAGGAAUAUUCUUGCAAUAACAAGAGACUUGCUAAGCUGUACACUGCUAUCAGCAUUAAGAGGAAGCUCUGACUAAGAAAAAGAAACAAAGAGCCAAAGGGAGACAGAUAGAACAGGCUGUCACCUUUGGGUUUGAAACUGCCUUUGUUUUCAGCAAGAAGUGCAGGCAUGCAGAGCUGGCUUUUUCCUCCGACUCCCUUGGCUCUUUUGUGAGGCCCAUUGACGAAAGGGAGAUCCACUCAAGGUGGGAAGAAAGAAACACCUCAUCCUUGACUAUUUGAUUAACAGCUGUCUUCUGUGCCAGAAAAUCCAACCCCCACAUUUUUCCUCCCAACCCUGAACCCCUAGUUGUCUCCUGAAAGAGCAGGUCUGUAUCACACACUUCUAGAGUUACUCUGCAGAUCAAACUGGAGAGGAGAGCAGAAAGGCAAGAAAUCCUCUGAGACAUCAGAAGGAAGAGGGAAGGACAAGCAGUGGGAAGACUGGGGAACAAACAGUGAGAGGAGGACGAGAGAGAGAAG